UACGUAGGGGGCUAGCGUUGUCCGGAUUUAUUGGGCGUAAAGAGCGUGUAGGCGGCCAGGUAGGUCUGGUGUGAAAACUCGAGGCUUAACCUCGAGAUGUCAUCGGAAACCAUCUGGCUCGAGUCCGGGAGAGGGGGGUGGAAUUCCCAGUGUAGCGGUGAAAUGCGUAGAUAUUGGGAGGAACACCGGUGGCGAAGGCGGCCCCCUGGACCGGUACUGACGCUGAGGCGCGAAAGCUAGGGGAGCAAACGGG
RNAcentral lists this ribosomal RNA (253 nucleotides) under uncultured bacterium. Its description in RNAcentral is "partial 16S ribosomal RNA". It matches the Rfam family "Bacterial small subunit ribosomal RNA", at positions 524 to 776 of the family's 1533-position model. The record is from RNAcentral.